This 1090-nucleotide long non-coding RNA is filed under the name Callithrix jacchus (white-tufted-ear marmoset). RNAcentral's name for it is "lncRNA (ENSCJAG00000070506.1)". The record is from RNAcentral. Lineage: Eukaryota; Metazoa; Chordata; Mammalia; Primates; Cebidae.
UAAUACAAAUAUGGAAGUAUGUGAAAACCUUAAAUAUGAUUUAAAGUGAAAAUUUAAAUUACAGGAGAGUAUGUAUAGAAAAAAUGGACUUGGUGAUUUUCAGAAUAUCUGGGUGAGUUUUGUUUUCACUUCCAUUUAAAUUUUCCUCUUGAAAAGAGUAGCAGCACUCUAAGAAAUGUAAAGUUUUGUGUCAUUUGUAGGGACAUGGAUGAAUCUGGAGAACAUCAUCCUCAGCAAACUGACACAAGAACAGAAAACGAAACACCGCAUAUUCUCACUCAUAGAUGUUACAGAAAGACAACAGAAUGUGAAGGUCAUGUUGGUCAGCCAAAUCAAAGCUGGUUCCACAGGCAAAUCACAUGGAAUUCAUUGACAUCGGUGCCCACAGUGAGAAGCAGCCCAGCAUCCUGUACUCAGCAUGGUGAUACUGCUCCACGUAUUGUUGAAGGGUUGACAGACAUUUUGCAUCAAUUUACCAUUCAAGAGGGUUUCAAAAGAUGACUAAAACUACUAGUGCUAAAUGCAAGUAUUAAAUGAUAAACACUUUUCAGAAAGUCAAGUUCAUAGGCCUGCCUAUAUUACUCAUUUAUUCUACUUAUUCACUCAUUUAUCCACUCAUUCAUUUACACAGACACACACGCAUGCGCACGCGCGCACACACACACACACACACACACAGAGAGAGAGAGAGAGAGAGAGAGAGAGAGAGAGAGAUUAACAAGUAUGUUCAAGGCAUUAUACCAGAAAAAAGAUCAUUAUGACAACACUCUAACCUCAAGGAACGGAUCAUCUAUUAGUAAAAGUACUCUAGCAGAAAAUGAAGAAUGAUAAGUGUAAAUAAUAAUUUAAAAAAUCAGGGGGAUCAAAAUCCUGAUGCAACGAUGUCCUGAAUAGUUGGUGAAAAGGGAAGGUAGGCUGGAAGGUUGUGCUCAAUGGAAAAAGCUGCACAACAGUAUAAUAAUUAUCACCAAAGUUACAGACAAAAUAAAUGCUCUUUGAAUUAAAUUUUCUAUGUCCCCAAAUACUUGUAAAUUUGCAAAGAAUAAGAGAGAAUUUUAAUAUUCAGAAAAUAUUUUAUAUUGCAUGUUAA